GAUUUUGUUAAAAUUUAUUAGUUGGUCUUUAAGUGGCAAUUAAAAUGUCCCUUAUUAAAGUAAUCCUGUUACUCUUUCGUGAGAGGCAGAUGGGGGAUAUUCAAAAUAUCCUUGAGUGCUAUCGAAAAUGUUCAAGACGUCAUAUCUCUCUGCGAAAAUACGCAAAUCACUAGUUACUGAUUCACCUGUUGAUAUUCAAUAAUCUGCCUUGUUAAAGAGUUUCGACUCUCCCCAGUUGAAGCGGUAGUCAAUGAUGAAAGCUCUGCGCACCAUCCUCAAAAGGUUCCACUCUAUUAUCUGUGCAAUAGUAAUAUGGCUGGUUAGGAUUUUUUGUAGAUUGGGAAAUGUUCACUCCACACCUCUUCCCACGUCCACAAUUGACACCAUUAACCUUUCAUCUCAUCCACUUAUGAUGCCACUUGAAAGAGACAUUGUGAUGGAAACAAUUAAACAAAGGAAAAUUGGGGGAAUGAGGAGAGGUAAACGCUGCAAAGAUGAGAGAGAAGUGACCUAAGGCGGGAAGCAACAGUGGAAGGAGGAGGGAAGAAAUGGAAGGAGGCGUUUAUGGCAGAAUAAGAAGAAGAAGAAGCAGCCUCAUCACCACCUCCUACGCCAUCCUUCUCCAUGCCUCUCUAAUCUCACAACCCUAAAACACACACAAAAAGUUCUAUACACACACACACCUAUAUACAAUUUCAAUAAAGAUCAUAUUCGGAGAAUGGGGAGGGGAUCCUUUAUUUUUUCCAAAAGCACCAGGCGUCGCCUGAAGAAGAAGUCGGGGCCUCCGUCUCCUCCAGUACUGGCACCACCUCCUCCUCCGUUGAGGGCGACAUCACUGCUGCAAGCAAUUGAUUGAUGGUAGUAGUAAUAAUAAUAAUACUUUGGUUGCAGGGACGGUUGUGAAGAUGAAGAAGAAGGUAGGAGGGGCGAGGCUGUGGAUGAGAUUUGAUAGGUUUGGGAAUUCGGAGCUAAUGGAGUGUGAUAAAAGCGCAAUUAUUAAGCGUGUACCGAUUCCCGCUAGGGAUUUGAGGAUUCUUGGCCCUGUCUUCUCCCACUCCUCCAAUAUUCUUGCCAGGGAGAAAGCCAUGGUUGUCAAUCUAGAGUUUAUAAGGGCUAUAGUUACAGCUGAAGAAGUCCUGAUUUUGGAUCCUCUAUGUCAAGAGGUUCUUCCAUUUGUGGACCAGCUCAGACAACAAAUUCCUCUUAAAAGGCCAUUUAAUACCCAGGGAGCAGCUCAUCCAGAUAUCCAAGAUAAUGAAAUGCACAUUUCAACAGGUGGGCAGUGGUUACCUGUUCCAGAAGCUGUUGAAGGUUUGCAAUGUGAGCUUCCUUUUGAGUUUCAGGUUCUGGAAAUUGCAUUGGAGGUUGUUUGCACAUAUUUGGACUCCAAUGUGGCAGACCUAGAGAGAGAUGCUUAUCCUGUUUUGGAUGAACUAGCCAGGAAUGUUAGCACCAAGAAUCUUGAACAUGUUCGAAGUUUGAAAAGCAAUCUCACACGUCUGCUUGCACGUGUGCAAAAGGUGAGGGAUGAAAUUGAACAUCUAUUAGAUGAUAAUGAAGAUAUGGCAGAUUUAUAUUUGACAAGGAAGUGGGUGCAGAAUCAGCAAUCUGAGGCUUUAUUGGGAACUGCAGCUUCAAAUAGCAUUAUCACUUUUACCCCUCAUCUCCGCCGACUUAAUUCUAGUCACAGUGCAAGUCAGGUGACAGGCAGCAUUGAUGAAAAUGAUGUGGAGGAAUUGGAGAUGUUGCUUGAAGCAUAUUUUAUGCAGUUGGAUGGAACACGUAACAAGAUCUUGUCUGUUCGUGAGUAUAUUGAUGACACAGAAGACUAUGUCAACAUCCAACUAGAUCAGCAGCGAAAUGAACUCAUUCAACUUCAGCUGACAUUAACUAUUGCAUCAUUUGCAAUAGCGUUGGAUACCUUAAUAGCAUCGUUCUUUGGCAUGAAUAUCCCUUGUCGAUUGUACAAAAUGAAUGGGGUAUUUGGGUACUUUGUUGGAAGUACUUCAGCAGGAUGUUUCUUGGUUUUCCUGCUGGUUCUAGGAUAUGCUAGAUGGAAGAAAUUGCUUGGUACAUAAAGUCUAGCUUAUUUCAACAACAGCAUGCACUACAUAUUUGGGGUUCAUGCAAGUAAUUGCUUACUAGUCCUGGUAAAUGCGAAGUCGUCUGAGGUGUAUAAUUAGGAGGUGGCGCAGCCAAUCUGUAUCAAAUGCUCCUCCUCUGUUUUUUAAUGAUGAAAUGCACUGAAAUUAUGAUUUCAGGCAAAUAAACCCCUCUAGUUUUUUUUUUUUUUUUU
RNAcentral lists this unclassified non-coding RNA (2296 nucleotides) under Hevea brasiliensis (rubber tree). Lineage: Eukaryota; Viridiplantae; Streptophyta; Magnoliopsida; Malpighiales; Euphorbiaceae. The record is from RNAcentral.